This 497-nucleotide ribosomal RNA is filed under the name uncultured bacterium. RNAcentral describes it as "partial 16S ribosomal RNA". It matches the Rfam family "Bacterial small subunit ribosomal RNA", at positions 28 to 507 of the family's 1533-position model. The record is from RNAcentral.
GACGAACGCUGGCGGCGUGCCUAAUACAUGCAAGUUGAGCGCUGAAGGUUGGUACUUGUACCAACUGGAUGAGCAGCGAACGGGUGAGUAACGCGUGGGGAAUCUGCCUUUGAGCGGGGGACAACAUUUGGAAACGAAUGCUAAUACCGCAUAAAAACUUUAAACACAAGUUUUAAGUUUGAAAGAUGCAAUUGCAUCACUCAAAGAUGAUCCCGCGUUGUAUUAGCUAGUUGGUGAGGUAAAGGCUCACCAAGGCGAUGAUACAUAGCCGACCUGAGAGGGGGAUAGGCCACAUUGGGACGGGGACACGGCCCAAAAUCCUACGGGAGGCAGCAGUAGGGAAUCUUCGGCAAUGGACGAAAGUCUGACCGAGCAACGCCGCGGGAGUGAAGAAGGUUUUCGGAUCGUAAAACUCUGUUGGUAGAGAAGAACGUUGGUGAGAGUGGAAAGCUCAUCAAGUGACGGUAACUACCCAGAAAGGGACGGCUAACUACGUG